GAGAGCAACUUAAAGGAGGUUUCGAUCUUCCUUGUGGGAAUCCCGUGAGUUGCCAAGUAGCGCUUAGGUAUAUAAAAGCGUCGAGAUGAACCUCGGGAGUUAGUUAGUCUCUUCCUACUGCAAAAUCUCUUUGUACCUCGUCAGAGCAAUGGUGAACCGCGGUUUGUUCCUCUUCCUCCUGGUGGCACUGGCCCUCUCAGCCGCGGCACUGGCUAAUCCUCUGCCCGGUGCCAGUGCCAAGGCUCACUUCGCGUUUCCGGGCUACGGUUACGGACACGGAUACGGACACGGGUACGGACACGGGUACGGACUCGGGCAUUACGGUAUCCCUGUCUAUCAUCACUGGUAGUAUGUGAAGCUGGGAAGGAAAGGCAGAACGCGCUCGCUCUCGACGAGACCGAAUUUCAUGAUGGCGGGACGUCGUCAGCAGAAACUCCUCUUUAUUUUCUCACAAACGGAUGGAUCUUUGAUCGAAGAAACCAAAUGCCCGUUGUAAAAAAAAAAAAAAAAAAAAAAAAAAAAAAAAUCCUUCAUUCCGCCAUCUGUCGAAUGUGUUUUCCAAAACCGUCUGAUAAAUCCGGAAUAACAUUA
Molecule: long non-coding RNA, 591 nt
Organism: Penaeus chinensis
Lineage: Eukaryota; Metazoa; Arthropoda; Malacostraca; Decapoda; Penaeidae
Exons: 3
Source: RefSeq, a predicted model, not a curated record